AAAACGACUCUCGGCAACGGAUAUCUCGGCUUUCGCAUCGAUGAAGAACGCAGCGAAAUGCGAUACUUGGUGUGAAUUGCAGAAUCCCGCGAACCAUCGAGUCUUUGAACGCAAGUUGCGCCCGAACCCUUUUGGCCGAGGGCACGUCUGCCUGGGUGUCACG
RNAcentral lists this ribosomal RNA (163 nucleotides) under Jatropha sp. JEICCG030. Its description in RNAcentral is "5.8S ribosomal RNA". It matches the Rfam family "5.8S ribosomal RNA". Rfam says of the family: 5.8S ribosomal RNA (5.8S rRNA) is a component of the large subunit of the eukaryotic ribosome. It is transcribed by RNA polymerase I as part of the 45S precursor that also contains 18S and 28S rRNA. Lineage: Eukaryota; Viridiplantae; Streptophyta; Magnoliopsida; Malpighiales; Euphorbiaceae. The record is from RNAcentral.